AGAGUUUGAUCCUGGCUCAGGAUGAACGCUGGCGGCGUGCUUAACACAUGCAAGUCGAACGGGCUCAUAUUGAAACCUAGUGAUUUAUGAGUUAGUGGCGGACGGGUGAGUAACGCGUGGAAAACCUGCCGUAUACUGGGGGAUAACACUUAGAAAUAGGUGCUAAUACCGCAUAAGCGCACAGCUUCGCAUGAAGUGGUGUGAAAAACUCCGGUGGUAUACGAUGGUUCCGCGUCUGAUUAGCUUGUUGGCGGGGUAAUGGCUCACCAAGGCGACGAUCAGUAGCCGGCCUGAGAGGGUGAACGGCCACAUUGGGACUGAGACACGGCCCAAACUCCUACGGGAGGCAGCAGUGGGGAAUAUUGCACAAUGGGGGAAACCCUGAUGCAGCGACGCCGCGUGAGUGAAGAAGUAUUUCGGUAUGUAAAGCCCUAUCAGCAGGGAAGAAAUAGCGACCUUUGGGUCGCCAGACGGUACCUGAUUAAGAAGCCCCGGCUAACUACGUG
This 506-nucleotide ribosomal RNA is filed under the name uncultured Lachnospiraceae bacterium. RNAcentral's name for it is "bacterial SSU rRNA". It matches the Rfam family "Bacterial small subunit ribosomal RNA", at positions 8 to 507 of the family's 1533-position model. Lineage: Bacteria; Bacillati; Bacillota; Clostridia; Lachnospirales; Lachnospiraceae. The record is from RNAcentral.